This 253-nucleotide ribosomal RNA is filed under the name uncultured bacterium. RNAcentral's name for it is "partial 16S ribosomal RNA". It matches the Rfam family "Bacterial small subunit ribosomal RNA", at positions 524 to 776 of the family's 1533-position model. The record is from RNAcentral.
UACGAAGGGGGCUAGCGUUGCUCGGAAUCACUGGGCGUAAAGCGCACGUAGGCGGCUUUCUAAGUCAGGGGUGAAAUCCUGGAGCUCAACUCCAGAACUGCCUUUGAUACUGGAGAGCUUGAGUCCGGGAGAGGUGAGUGGAACUCCGAGUGUAGAGGUGAAAUUCGUAGAUAUUCGGAAGAACACCAGUGGCGAAGGCGGCUCCCUGGCCCGGUACUGACGCUGAUGUGCGAAAGCGUGGGGAGCAAACAGG